RNAcentral lists this unclassified non-coding RNA (233 nucleotides) under Hevea brasiliensis (rubber tree). Lineage: Eukaryota; Viridiplantae; Streptophyta; Magnoliopsida; Malpighiales; Euphorbiaceae. The record is from RNAcentral.
GUUCUGGGUUGUUUUCAUCUUACUCCAACUCUUCUUCAAUUGGUUUCUACAAUUAUCACAACAACUUGCCUAUUUCUUCCAGAAAUUUUGCUUCCCACAAGAUUUCUCUGCAAAUUGAUGCCGUUCGCAUGCAAGAUGGUGCUGUAGUGGCUCCACCUAGCAAAACCCAAGAUGAAACUCCUUUGAAGAAAUUAAAAGAUGGAAUUUUGUCAAAGGAGCAGAAACAUAUAUUU